AGGAGACUACAGGAGAGGAGAUAACAGGAGAGGAGAUAACAGGAGAGAUUCCUACAGGAGCAGUACCUCAGGGAGCAGGAGAAACUGAAAGGGGAGUGGGAGAGAGCGCAGAGAGAGGUGGACGAGGAAGAACGAAGACACAAGGAAGAGGAGAAGAAGAUCCUGGAGGAGACGGCAACGGCCCUUUCUCAUCCAACUCCCACAGAGCUCGUUGUUCAGACAGAAGUGAUCGUUCCGGCACAACAGAUCUAUGCAUCAUGGGACUGUGAGUCAUCCAGGGGUCAGGAGACGUCUCUGGACCGCAACCAGCCCUGCGCCGUCAAGAGGU
Molecule: long non-coding RNA, 328 nt
Organism: Oncorhynchus gorbuscha (pink salmon)
Lineage: Eukaryota; Metazoa; Chordata; Actinopteri; Salmoniformes; Salmonidae
Exons: 4
Source: RefSeq, a predicted model, not a curated record